GUGGAUUAGAUACCCGGGUAGUCCUUGCCGUAAACGAUGUAUACUUGAUGUAGUUAGGCUCAACCCUGGCUGUGUCGUAGCUAACGCGAUAAGUAUACCGCCUGAGGAGUACGCUCGCAAGGGUGAAACUCAAAAGAAUUGACGGGGGCCCGCACAAGCAGUGGAGCAUGUGGUUUAAUUCGAUGCAACGCGAAGAACCUUACCCAGGCUCGAAAUGCAAAGGAUAGCAUCAGAAAUGGUGUGUUCCGAAAGGACCUUUGUAUAGGUGCUGCACGGUCGUCGUCAACU
Molecule: ribosomal RNA, 288 nt
Filed under: uncultured bacterium
Lineage: Bacteria
Description: partial 16S ribosomal RNA
Rfam family: Bacterial small subunit ribosomal RNA
Source: RNAcentral